This is a long non-coding RNA of Orcinus orca (killer whale), 1725 nucleotides long. RefSeq lists it as uncharacterized. The transcript is spliced from 4 exons. NCBI's taxonomy places the organism in Eukaryota, Metazoa, Chordata, Mammalia, Artiodactyla, Delphinidae. The record is from RefSeq and is a predicted model, not a curated record.
UCCGGCGUCUGGCCUGUGGUGUGGUGGAGGCUCUUGGCAGUCUCAAGGAACCAGGCAAGAGGGUCGUUAACCUUCUGACGCCGCUUGGGCCCGGUCAGCGUUACAAGGUCUUUUUCCUGUGGCCUUAGCCUUGGGAAUGAGGCUGUUGAGUUAACUUGAGCUCCUUGUGGCCGUCCAGGCGGCACUGUCUGCCACAGGAGUUACGGGACCGCGCUUUCGUAAUUUCCUAAGUUUCUGAGGAGAUGAGAGGGUCGAGACUGUCCGGGUAAGCAGAAUGAAGACCAAAAGACAUUCAGAAAGGAGAACAGACAAAAGAGAAGUGAUAGUGAACAAGUGCUAGAAAUACAAGACAGAAACAAGAUUUGGGAAAAGUUUGGGACAGAUGCAAUCUAUCAUUCGAUAAAUACAUUUAGAGGAAGCCUGAGAAAUGACGGUACAAUUUGAAUGUGGAAAGCAGGAAUCAAGGAAGAAAGAACAAUAGACUGACAGGAUACCAGUUCUACUCCUGGUUCUAGCAACCCAGUGUAUGACUUUGGAAAUGAACCUGCACUAUUUAGUUCCUUGAAAAACUCCUGCUUCGGGCUGUGCGUCUUACUGGGGUUGAUGAAUAUGGUCACCAAACUUAUAAGAGGUAAAGUGACAGAAGCCCACUCCGCCACCCCCCUCCCCUCAGCUCAGGCAGACUGUGGGGAUCCAAGAUGGUGCUCCCUGGGCCAUUUCCUCACUAUUGUGGGCAGGGAUGGGAGAGGGAAUUCAUGUAUUGGAUUACACAUUUCUUGAGGACAAAGACUACAUCUAAUUAACAUAUUUUUAGCAGAAUCCAGGAUAAUGCCAUGAAUAUCUUAACAUGUGUUAGUGACUGAGAGGCUUAUUCCUUUUGCACUCUUUCAAGCAGGCACAUUCUGGAAUAUACUCCUGGAAGAGAUGGUAAUUGGGGAAUGUUCUGGGGAAAUGAGGACAGCACUGCAGCGGGAAAGAAAAUCUGGUACAGAGAUACUGAUUUAAUGUAUAAUAUGCCCAAGUGAUGGAAGGAUGGAUUCUCAAUGGCUUUCCUCUUUCUAUUAAAAAAGGGUGGGGGGAAGAUAAAUAAUCUGAUGGCACUAUCACUCCCCUCCUCUCCUUUCCCUGGUAAGGGGUGUGUCUUAGGAAGCACAUCUGACCCUGGAUGUAGACACUGACUAAGAAGAGAGCAUCUUGCCCCAUGUGUGUUACUGCCUACGGGAUGAGCUUUACCCGAGGCCUGGAAAGGGUCCUAGGAAGAGAUUGCCUCUGCCUCACAUCUUCUGCUGUUCCUUUGGGUUCCACAGGUAAGCCGGGCGCCUUCCUGGGCCCCUCUACUGGUUAGUCAGGUGGUCUGGGAAGGCUGCUGUGGAAUGGCCAGCAGUGGAUGCUGAGGGAAUUGAGCCCAGUCAUGACAACUUUGAUUCCGUGAGAGAUUUUGAACUAGAGGGAAUUAUCUACUUAGUUCUUAUUCUACCUUUAAAAGAGAGUUAGGUGGGGCUUCCCUGGUGGCGCAGUGGUUGAGAGUCCGCCUGCCGAUGCAGGGGACACGGGUUCGUGCCCCGGUCCGGGAAGAUCCCACAUGCCGCGGAACGCCUGGGCCCGUGAGCCAUGGCCGCUGAGCCUGCGUGUCCGGAGCCUGUGCUCUGCAACGGGAGAGGCCACAACGGUGAGAGGCCCGCAUACCACAAAAAAAAAAAAAAAAAAAAAAAAAAAGAGAGAGUU